This 402-nucleotide ribosomal RNA is filed under the name uncultured bacterium. RNAcentral describes it as "bacterial SSU rRNA". It matches the Rfam family "Bacterial small subunit ribosomal RNA", at positions 355 to 774 of the family's 1533-position model. The record is from RNAcentral.
UGGGGAAUCUUGCACAAUGGGGGCAACCCUGAUGCAGCGACGCCGCGUGAGCGAUGAAGCCCUUCGGGGCGUAAAGCUCUUUCGACCGGAACGAUAAUGACGGUACCGGGAGGAGAAGCUGCGGCUAACUACGUGCCAGCAGCCGCGGUAAUACGUAGGCAGCAAGCGUUGUUCGGAGUUACUGGGCGUAAAGAGUGCGUAGGCGGUUUUCUAAGUUCGGUGUGAAAUCUCCCGGCUUAACUGGGAGGGUGCGCCGAAGACUGGGAAGCUGGAGUGUGGGAAAGGCAGGCGGAAUUCCUGGUGUAGCGGUGAGAUGCGUAGAUAUCAGGAGGAACACCGGCGGUGUAGACGGCUUGCUAGACCAUAACUGACGCUGAGGCACGAAAGCGUGGGUAGCGAACA